RNAcentral lists this ribosomal RNA (401 nucleotides) under uncultured bacterium. RNAcentral's name for it is "bacterial SSU rRNA". It matches the Rfam family "Bacterial small subunit ribosomal RNA", at positions 358 to 774 of the family's 1533-position model. The record is from RNAcentral.
GGAAUAUUGCACAAUGGGCGAAAGCCUGAUGCAGCAACGCCGCGUGAGGGAAGACGGUUUUCGGAUUGUAAACCUCUGUCUUUGGUGACGAAUAAAUGACGGUAACCGAGGAGGAAGCCACGGCUAACUACGUGCCAGCAGCCGCGGUAAUACGUAGGUGGCAAGCGUUGUCCGGAUUUACUGGGUGUAAAGGGAGCGUAGGCGGGCGAAUAAGUCAGCUGUGAAAUCCAUAGGCUUAACCUGUGAACUGCAGUUGAAACUGUUUGUCUUGAGUGAAGUAGAGGCAGGCGGAAUUCCGAGUGUAGCGGUGAAAUGCGUAGAUAUUCGGAGGAACACCAGUGGCGAAGGCGGCCUGCUGGGCUUUAACUGACGCUGAGGCUCGAAAGUGUGGGGAGCAAACA